GAACCUUACCAGGGUUUGACAUCCUCUGUAAGACGCAGAAAUGCGUUCCCCAUGGCAACAUGGCAGAGAGACAGGUGCUGCAUGGCUGUCGUCAGCUCGUGUCGUGAGAUGUUGGGUUAAGUCCCGCAACGAGCGCAACCCUCGUCGAGUGUUGCCAGCAUUCAGUUGGGCACUCACUCGAGACCGCCGUUGAUAAGACGGAGGAAGGUGGGGAUGACGUCAAGUCCGCAUGGCCCUUACAUCCUGGGCUACACACGUGUACAAUGGCCGGUACACGAGCAGCAAGACCGCGAGGUCAAGCUAAUCUCCUAAAGCCGGUCUCAGUUCGGAUCGAAGGCUGCAACUCGCCUUCGUGAAGUCGGAAUCGCUAGUAACCGCAGAUCAGCUACGCUGCGGUGAAUACGUUCCCGGGCCUUGUACACACCGCCCGUCACGUCACCCGAGUUUAGUGCACCCGAAGCCGCCUCAUCCAACCGUAAGGGGGAGGGCGUCUAAGGUGUGCUAGGUAAGGGGGACGAAGUCGUAACAAGGUAGC
RNAcentral lists this ribosomal RNA (535 nucleotides) under uncultured bacterium. Its description in RNAcentral is "bacterial SSU rRNA". It matches the Rfam family "Bacterial small subunit ribosomal RNA", at positions 966 to 1500 of the family's 1533-position model. The record is from RNAcentral.